AAGUCGUAACAAGGUUUCCGUAGGCGAACCUGCGGAAGGAUCAUUAAGAAAAGUCCCGGUGCCGCAAGGCGCCUACCUUUCAAACCAAUGUGAAAACACCCGUUGCUUCGGCGGCAGCGUGCCCGACCUCGCCCUCCCACUCGGGGGAGGACGAAGGCGCGUGUCAGUCCGCCAGAGGCUCCAAACCGAAACCUUUCCGUAACCGUAGUCUGAUAAACAAAGAUUUAAUUCGUUAAAA
Molecule: unclassified non-coding RNA, 238 nt
Filed under: plant metagenome
Description: partial contains small subunit ribosomal RNA and internal transcribed spacer 1
Rfam family: Eukaryotic small subunit ribosomal RNA (bases 1-46)
Source: RNAcentral